RNAcentral lists this ribosomal RNA (785 nucleotides) under soil bacterium enrichment culture clone AOBMPRP15. Its description in RNAcentral is "bacterial SSU rRNA". It matches the Rfam family "Bacterial small subunit ribosomal RNA", at positions 8 to 782 of the family's 1533-position model. The record is from RNAcentral.
AGAGUUUGAUCCUGGCUCAGAGUGAACGCUGGCGGUAGGCCUAACACAUGCAAGUCGAACGGCAGCACAGGAGAGCUUGCUCUCUGGGUGGCGAGUGGCGGACGGGUGAGGAAUACAUCGGAAUCUACUUUUUCGUGGGGGAUAACGUAGGGAAACUUACGCUAAUACCGCAUACGACCUACGGGUGAAAGCAGGGGAUCUUCGGACCUUGCGCGAUUGAAUGAGCCGAUGUCGGAUUAGCUAGUUGGCGGGGUAAAGGCCCACCAAGGCGACGAUCCGUAGCUGGUCUGAGAGGAUGAUCAGCCACACUGGAACUGAGACACGGUCCAGACUCCUACGGGAGGCAGCAGUGGGGAAUAUUGGACAAUGGGCGCAAGCCUGAUCCAGCCAUACCGCGUGGGUGAAGAAGGCCUUCGGGUUGUAAAGCCCUUUUGUUGGGAAAGAAAUCCAGCUGGCUAAUACCCGGUUGGGAUGAGGGUACCCAAAGAAUAAGCACCGGCUAACUUCGUGCCAGCAGCCGCGGUAAUACGAAGGGUGCAAGCGUUACUCGGAAUUACUGGGCGUAAAGCGUGCGUAGGUGGUCGUUUAAGUCCGUUGUGAAAGCCCUGGGCUCAACCUGGGAACUGCAGUGGAUACUGGGCGACUAGAGUGUGGUAGAGGGUAGCGGAAUUCCUGGUGUAGCAGUGAAAUGCGUAGAGAUCAGGAGGAACAUCCAUGGCGAAGGCAGCUACCUGGACCAACACUGACACUGAGGCACGAAAGCGUGGGGAGCAAACAGGAUUAGA